UCUCCUCCCUCUCUUCUCCCUUCUCUCCCGUGCGACUCCUCCAUCUUCUUCUUCUUGCUGCUCGACGGAACCGAGCAGACCAGCGGAGCCGAAGAAGUCGCACGCCUCCGCCGUUCGCCGUCGCCGCCCGUCCGCACCCUAGCUGCUCCGCCCCUCCACCCGCUCGCCGUCGCUUAGCCGCGCCACCGUCGCCCUCUCUUCUCCAUCUCCAGUUGCUGCUCGUGUCCCAGCAGAUCUGGGAAGACGCCGGAGCAGCCAGCAGUCUAGUCGGACUGCCGUCGCGCCCCGCUUGCCGCCGUCCGCCUCUCGCGACACCCCGCCGUCCUCGCGCAGGAAGCCUGCUCGUCCCUGCUGUUCCGCGAGUCCAGCAGUCAUUCCAGAUCUGGGGAAGCUCAGCCGGAGCCGCCCAGCUCACCUCCGGCCACCGUGAAGCCCCGCCUAGGUCCGGUUCAGCUCCUCCGCCCAUUCCCGACCCCAACCAGCCCCGGAUCUGCUCAUUUUCGGCCCCAACCAGCAGCGAGCAGAGAGUUGGAAAAUGGGUAUGCAGCGGACGUUUGGCCCGUUUUGGCCGCCUUCCCGAGCCCGGAUGCUCGGCCCGCCUUGAGGAAAGUUGUUCUCCUCGGCGUCCCCGUCGUUUUGGUCCGCUCGGCUCGCUAAUCCAGUGAGUUUAGCUCACUAAACCUCGGUUAGAGGGUUAAUUAUGCUUUAGGUGUGCUUAGCUUAAGUUGAUUAAGCUUAGGUGGUUAAUUUAGUUGAUUUAAUUAUGAUUUAGAUUAAGUUGUUUGUUUAAUCUAAAGUAUGUUUAAUUAAAUGCUAAGAGAGUUUAUUUAAAGUUAAGUGGGUGUUUAUAUUAAUAUAAACAUUGAUGUGACAUAAAGGAAUUUACCUUUGGUUUAUUUAAAUAUCUCGAAAUUAUUUAAUAAUUUAAUAAUUUAUUAUUAUUCGAAAUUAUUAAAAUAUUAUUAUUUAAUUAUUUUCGGAAUAAAUUUAAUUAUUUAUUAAAUUCCGAAAAUUUUGGUCGGGACCCUAAAUUCUCAGAAUUUCGUGUCGGUCGCUACGUUACAUUCGGAUUUUGAAAUUGAUGAUUGGAUAUUAUAAAUUGAGUGUGGAUUUCGAAAACUAUGGAUAUUAUUAUUUAAUUAUUUUCGGAAUAAAUUUAAUUAUUUAUUAAAUUCCGAAAAUCUUCAUUGGGACCUUAUUUGCUCAGAAUUUCGUGCCGAUCGUUGCUGUGCAUUUAGAAUUUGAAAUUGAUGAUUGGUUGUGAUGAAUUGAGUGUGAUUGUGAUUUAUAGGGAUUCUUUACGAAAUCCUAAGCGUAGAAAUUGAUGGGAGAUUGGCUGUGAAAUACCACCUAUUAGAGGUCGUGCCCAGAGAGGCCGUGAUAAACCACCUUGGAAAGGUCGUGCCCGAUGAGGCCGUGAAAAACCACCUACAAGAGGUCGUGCCCGAUGAGGCCGUGAAAUACCACCUAUUAGAGGUCGUGCCCAGAGAGGCCGUGAUAAACCACCUAUGAAAGGUCGUGCCCAGAGAGGCCGUGAUAAACCACCUAUGAAAGGUCGUGCCCAGAGAGGCCGUGAUAAACCACCUAUGAGAGGUCGUGCCCAGAGAGGCCGUGAUAAACCACCUUGGAAAGGUCGUGCCCGAUGAGGCCGUGAAAAACCACCUACAAGAGGUCGUGCCCGAUGAGGCCGUGAAUUACCACCUGAUUACAGGUCGUGCCGAGUGGGGCCGUGAUGCCACUGAUUUAAAUUUGCCGAGUAGGGCCGUAGUUGAGAGCAAUGAUUGAUUUGCUAGAAUGACAUGUAAUCGGCCGAGUCGAUUGAUCGCUGAGACGAUCCAAGUGGUUGAAUGGUUUGUUAAUGUGAUUGUGCCAUGGUUGUUUGGUUAUCAUAAUUGUACGUGAUUGGAUUAUAUAAAUUGUGCUAACCUGCAGAUGAAGGCUGAGGCGAGGUAAGUCUUCUGUGUGAUGUGGCUAGGCCACCCGGGGCGUAUUUUCUUUCUAAUAGGGGUUUAGGGGGUUGAACUUGCUGAGACAUCGUCUCAUCCCGGUUGUGGGAUUAAAAUUUCAGGUCCCUGGUGGACGGAGCG
Molecule: long non-coding RNA, 2087 nt
Filed under: Eucalyptus grandis
Lineage: Eukaryota; Viridiplantae; Streptophyta; Magnoliopsida; Myrtales; Myrtaceae
Description: long non-coding RNA (EGRA_LNC007063)
Source: RNAcentral